This is a long non-coding RNA of Megalops cyprinoides (Indo-Pacific tarpon), 298 nucleotides long. RefSeq lists it as uncharacterized. The transcript is spliced from 3 exons. NCBI's taxonomy places the organism in Eukaryota, Metazoa, Chordata, Actinopteri, Elopiformes, Megalopidae. The record is from RefSeq and is a predicted model, not a curated record.
GUUUGAACUAACGUCGGAGUCUCUUGGCCACAGACGCGUAAAAUUGUGCGUUGGCUACUGGAGUGGGAGUCCAGUUGAAAAGCUCAGGAUGUAUGAUUGCGGGCCUGGGCGACUCUGUGGAUGGUGACCUCGAUCCAAGCCAACCGUGGAACUCCGACAUGGACUCUGAAGGUGUUGUGAAGCUGGACAGGAAUGGUGCUGUUCCGGCUCUGUGUGCCCUUCCUUGCUCGCGAUCGCACUGGGUGAGCUGGUCCUCAGGCACCGUCCUUCACCAAGCCACUCCACCCCCCCUGCUGGC